Molecule: ribosomal RNA, 423 nt
Filed under: uncultured bacterium
Lineage: Bacteria
Description: bacterial SSU rRNA
Rfam family: Bacterial small subunit ribosomal RNA
Source: RNAcentral
AAGACCUUGCACUUUUGGAGCGGCCGAUGUCUGAUUAGCUAGUUGGUGGGGUAAUGGCCUACCAAAGCUUCGAUCAGUAGCUGGUCUGAGAGGACGGCCAGCCACACUGGGACUGAGACACGGCCCAGACUCCUACGGGAGGCAGCAGUGGGGAAUUUUGGACAAUGGGGGCAACCCUGAUCCAGCCAUGCCGCGUGAGUGAAGAAGGCCUUCGGGUUGUAAAGCUCUUUCAGCCGGAACGAAACGGUUACGGUUAAUACCCGUGAUUACUGACGGUACCGGAAGAAGAAGCACCGGCUAACUACGUGCCAGCAGCCACGGUAAUACGUAGGGUGCGAGCGUUAAUCGGAAUUACUGGGCGUAAAGCGUGCGCAGGUGGUUUUGUAAGUCAGAUGUGAAAGCCCCGGGCUCAACCUGGGAACU